RNAcentral lists this long non-coding RNA (6262 nucleotides) under Sus scrofa (pig). RNAcentral describes it as "lncRNA (ENSSSCG00000054475.1)". The record is from RNAcentral. Lineage: Eukaryota; Metazoa; Chordata; Mammalia; Artiodactyla; Suidae.
CACUAUGCUUUACAUUAUGCGUACAUAUGUCGUGUACCAUAAAUACAGGGAAGUAGGUGGGAAAUAACAAUCACUAUUCCAGGUUAUAUUGAAAUAAUUUUAUAAAAACUAUUUUAGUGUUUGCCAUUGCUAAGCAAAAGGUGUGCUUUAAUUUAGGCAACAAACAUGCUUCUAAAACAUUUAAACAAGAAUCAUAUUCUGAAACAACCAUCUCUAUUGUUCAAAGGGUUGCUGCCUCCCCUAAGGGAACUAAAGUUAAACAAACAGAAAACUGGAUGUUUUUGAUGUAUAUCAACAUUACCCCAGGGACAAAAAUCCCAGGCAUUGGUGACCCAUUCAUUUUUUCUAUUCUUCAAUCCUCUUCCUCCCAUUUCUGGAAAAUAUUUCUUUCUACACUCUUGAAUUUGUUUUUGUUUUUUUUUUUUUAAUUUGUGUACCGACUUGGAAUUCCACCACAUAGACACAUGCUCAAAUGAAUUUAAGUAUUAUUUUGAAAGUAAAAUACUCAUUGAAAGGAUGACAGUAUUCGAAAUUAUUCCUUACUGCAAAUUAGCUGAUUCAAAUAGUUGUUUUUGACGCAUGGCUGGGACUGUCUGCACUGAGAGAACAGGGUUUGGAGUGAAGAAAGGAAUCAUUCAUGAGAACCAUCAUGGUGCGGCAAAAGCUGGGCAGGUUCCACAGAGAAGGCCAUGGAUGGGACCUGGCUAAAGGAUGAGGUGGAAGGAGUAGAAGUACAGAUGAAAAAUUAGCAACUAGCAAAGAUUGUAACUGUCUGGGGCCAUGAGUGUAAGUGAACUGACUUUUCUCAUUCCUCUCUCUGCAGCACCAGUCUCCUGCUGUGGGCACCCCAAUUUCAGGCCAGUGUAAUUGCUACCAUUUUUCAGCCACAGUGGGGCUUAAUAGGCCUUUGUGGGAUAAUCUGAGUUCUAACUACUGUUUAUUUGAUAAAAAUAUAGGCUGAACCCCAAACCACCAAUUUACAGACUUUAGUCAUGGGUAUCAACAGAGGAAUGACUUGCAGAAUCUUUGCCUUGAAUGACAUGCAGGAACUUUCCGUCUUCCAUCCAGAUUGACAUCCUGAUGCAAGGUGUCUCUUUUCUUCAAACCUCAGAUGUUCUCUACACAGGUAUAGACAGUAGAAAUAUUUAUUAAACAAAUUCUGUGAUGAAAAAUGCUAUUCCUCUCAUUUGAAUACUACCUCCUCAAGGUAGCUGUGUGAAAGACAAAACUGAUUAUUUUUAGAAAUGGCUGUAUUUUAAGGCAGUUACUGUAGGACGAUGGAAUUCUUAGGUGGAGAAUAAACUCUUUUGAUGGAGAAAAUUUCCCAGUGGUUUUAAGAUAAGCACCACCCCCCUCAAGCCCCAACUAUGCCUCGUAAAGUCUGUAGGAGAUAGUGUGGAACAGGGAACAAAGAGAGAGCCAACUUUCUUCCUAGUAGGAAGUAACAAGAACUUGGGUGUUGGAUGCUGGCCACUUGGGUAGGGUGGUGGGAAAAAGAUAAGACAGGAGAAGGAUCUCUGUAGAGACUAGAAGACUUGCACUUUGACAGAAUUUAGAACUUAAGGAGAUAAAUGGCUUAUGAGAAACUCCAGACUGUGGUGGUUGUGGAAUAUCAGUAGUAUGAUGUCUAAAAUCUAAUCAUAAGUUUUUUCCUUUCCCCUUACUCAUACUCAGAGCUAAGUAAAAAGGGGCUAUAUGCAGGGGCCGUAGAUGGACCAAGAGAAGGCUUGUGUAGAGGUUCUUUGGGAAAGGUCAGGGAAAGGACAGGGGAAACAGAGUGAAACAAGGAUGGCCGUUGGGGGAGAUGAGUCAGGAGGAGAAAUUUGGAACAAAUAGUAAUCAGAAAACAAGUUCCUCGGAAAUCCUUUAACAAUGUGAAGGCCCUGAUAGUCCCUAGCAUAUGGGAUAAGGGCUUGAACUGUUUUCUUUGGGACAUUAAAAGAAAUUUAACCCCAGGAGGCUGGAAGACUAGGAAAAACAAAUUAUAAAUGUAAAUUUUACUUUCAUGUAUUGAGUUUUCAACAUUAAAAACUUGCAUCUUGAUGAUAAAGUUCCUAUUUUCCAUUAAUUUAUUUUGGUGCCUCUUUUCUAAAUGAGAUUUUCUGAAUUCUUUGACUUUCAAAAUACAGGCUGAAUGAAUUAUUUCUCUGCAGUCAGUAUGGGGGCCUUCUUGCCAUUUGUAUGCCAUUCCCUCCACCCUGAUAUAGUGAGACCCUUUAUGUCUGUGUAUUUAACUCUACAUCCAGCACCUUAUGCUGGGCAGGAAAUGUGUGCUGGGAAGCAGCCUAGGCUAGUGGUAGAUGGCACAGACGCUGGAACCAAACAGUUCAAGUUCCUUUUGUCUCCUCCACUUAUAAACUAUACAUCCUAGGUAAGUUACUUAAACUUUCUGUGCCUUGAAAUGUCCCCAUUUAAAGGAGGAUCAUAAUAGCAUCUAUAGAGUCUGAGGAUUCUAUGAGUUGCAAAUGUAAAGGACUCAGAAGGAUGUCUGACAUUCAGUAAAUAUUAACUUACUAUCAUCACAAAAUAAAAGUUUUAUGGAAAUAUUUAUUGAGUGGCUAAGAACAGGAUCUAUUGCUGAGUUCCAAGAAUUAUUUUCUGUCUUUAUGGAAACUAAAACUGUGCAUCUAGGUGGAUCCACAAAUAAAUUAUUUUGACUGAGAGAUUCCUGAAGUUGGGAACCACAUCUUCCCUAGGCUGUUAUGACAGGACUCAGUGCUUCUGUGCAAAGGAAGGAGAGUACCACUUUGUGUGCAAAGGAAGGAGAGUACCACUUUGUGAUGGUCAAAGUAGCUUCAGUUUGGUUUUGAUCUUGUGGAGUGUGCAGAGAAAUUACAUUAUUUAUCAUAAUCCAGACCAUUAGAGAAGUAUGGAGGAGAACAAUACUGUCCUCAGAUAGUAAGAAAGCCCAUUUUAAAAUACUGUUUCUAUGUUUGUGGGUAGUAUAGCCUAAUAUGCCAAAUUCAAGACAGUCAGAACUUGGGGAAAAAUGGAAUAUAAAGGCAUGACAUUGAAAAAAGAUAUGUCUGGAUUCAAGAUAGAUUUUGGUAUUUACUAAUUCUGAGUCCUUGUGCAUAAUCACCCAUCUAUCUAUCACCUGACUCAGGAUUUAUUUAUUAAUUUAUUUGUUUGUUUUUUGCUUUUUAGGGCAGCAUAUGGAAAUUCCCAGGCUAGGGGUUGCAUUGGAGCUACAGCGGCAGCCUACACCACAGUCAUAGCAACACCAGAUCUGAACCACAUCUGUGAUCUACACCACAGCUCACGGCAACUUCAGAUCCCUGACCCAAUGAGCGAGGCCAAGAUCAAAUUCGCAUCCACAUGGAUACUAGUCAGAUUCAUUUCUGCUGUGCCACAAAGGGAACUCCCUGAUUCAGAAAUGAUAUAGAAGCAACUUACAAACUGAUAUUUAAAAGAUGUAGUCAACGUCAAAGACAAAGGAUAAAAUUGGAAAAAGUAGUUGGGUCAUAUAUGACAUAAAAAUAGCUCUUAUCAUUGACAAUUGACAUUCUGACAAAUUGGAGUUCCCGUUGUGGCGCAGAGGAAAUGAAUCCGACUAGCAACCAUAAGGUUGAAGAUUUGAUCCCAGGCCUUGCUCAGUGGGUUAAGAAUCCAGCGUUGCUGUGAGCUGUGGUGUAGGUUGUAGAUGUGGCAGGGACCUGGCCUUGCUGUGGCUGUGGUGUAGACCUGCAGUUAUAGCUCCAGUUAGACCCCUAGGCUGGGAACCUCCAUAUGCCUCAGGUGUGGCCCUAAAAAGCAAAAAAAAAAAAAACCCACAAAACAUUCUGACAAAUUAGUAAGAGAAUGAACAACCCAAAGGGAAUAGACAAAGGACAUGAAUAAUCAAUGAAGGAAGAAAUAACAUGUGAAAUGAUAUCUAAUCUCAAUAAUAGCCAAAGAAAUAGAAACUAAGGCAAAAGUGAAAUUUGAAAUUUUCUUUAUUAAAUUGGUACUGAUUUUAUUUACUUUUUUCAGAGUAAGCUAUUUCAUUUUUCCUUAUGUAUAUAUAAUAUAUAUAAUUAUUAAAGUGUAGUUGAUAUACAGUGUUGUACCAGUUUCUGCUGUACUGUGUAGUGACACACACACACACACACACACAUACACAUUAUCUUUUCUCAUAUUAUCUUCCAUCAUGGUCUGUCUAUCCCAAGAGAUUGUAUAUAGUUCCCUGUGUUGUACAGAGGACCUCAUUGCUUAUCCAUUCUAAAGGUAAUAACUUUGCACCUAUCAACCCCAGACUCCAUAUCCAUCCCACUCCCUCCCCUCUCCCGCUUUACAACCACAAGUCUGUUCUCUCUGUUUGUCUGUUUGUGUUUUGUAGAUAGGUCCAUUUGUGUCAUGCUUUUUACUAUGCUAUACACUGGGUGAGGGCCCAGAAAAUAACUAUACAAGGGUGCUUGUAAGAAAAUCAUAAAUAAAAAGGUCAUAAGCCAUCUACCUGAAUAAAUUCUGCAUCCAAUUUGGCCAACAUUUUUGAAUACUUCUUGGGUACGGAGAGUAGGUCAUCCACUGUGCUCUGGGUGCCUACCAUCGCUGCAGGAGACCCACACACAGGACCCAAUCACCCAUACGAGGCAGAAUAAAACAAGUGCUAUGAAAACAGAAGAAAUAAAAAAUUCUCACUGACUCAGAAAUCUGAGUAAACUUCUAUCUUAAGUGCUUAAUUCUUCGGUCACUCAUGCGCUUUGUCACAGUGGACGUGUGACAAAGGGAGGUUUGGAUGUCAGUCUUCCAUCUGUACAUAUAAGCCCCAUUCCCCCAAAAAUUGCAUGAGAUAGGCUGCAUUGUCUCUUGGUGCCAUGUCUGGAGCCAGCUCGUGGUAGAGUCUAGACAAGAGGCCCUCCUUUGAGAACCCCUUGGACUCAGGGCGCCCACAUCCCUCUGAGUGGUGUUCAAAGCUGGAUAAUGAAGGUAUAUACAGCCUGCCAGUCCAAGGGUCCCCAUCAACCAGUGUGGUAAAGAGCUCUUCCUCUGACCCCUCCUCUAUGUCUAUGUGCCCUGGUGGCAGGUGCUCCAAGUCUCUGAGCUGAGGGGUGUAUGAAUGCAGCUGUGUUUGUGGAUCCAAGUUGGCCAAAGGUGCCUGUUGCUCAAAUAACUUUCCUUAUUGGGAUGCCUUCUCCUGUGGAUUGGACUCCUGAUCUCCAGGCCCCAUGGAAAUGUCAUUAGUUCUCACAUCGUAUUCAUAUCUGGGGGCAUUGUUCUGCUGGGUGGAUCCUGCUGCGUUAGUUAGGGAAGUCUCUCUGGUGCUUUUCUCAGAGUCACACAUGAUGUCCAUCAAAUAUGAAGCAUACCCCACGUGUCUCACCUCCAUUUCUUCCCAGGGGGACUCCUGGUCCUCACUGGGCUCAUUCAGGUCCCACACAUCAUCGGUGUUUUCUAUCAUGCUUGUAUCCUUCUGCGAAGAUUUAGACUCCUCAAAAAUAUUGAGGGUGGUAAAGUUCAUCACAAUUUUUUCAGCAAGUACAAAGAAUCUUCUGUCAAAUUCACUUCCAUAAAUCAAAAUCAAAUUUGCUGGGUGUUUCUCUUUGCCAACAUGGGUAUAUCUGUACAUGAAAAAGCCUGUCCACAGAAAAAAUAAACAUGGUAACAGAUAUGGGCAAAACAUACCAGAUUUUAGCCUUCAACUUUGAUGUUUGAUCUUUCAAAAUGCUGACACACUGCUUUUCAGAAGGCUGAGUGAGGCGAGGAGGGGCUGGGACCAAGGACUCUGCAAGAACGCAAUGCACAGUGUCUGGCUCCAGCCAGCUGAGCACCAGCGUGUGGUUAGUCACACACUGGGACCACGUUCAAGUAUAGGCACUGAUUUUUUAAAAAUGAGGAAAACUAAUGACAUUCCCAGCUAACAAGAAGAAACAGAAAAACAAGCAGUCUUCUAAACUGCUUGUGCAAAUAAAAAUUAUUGCAACUUUAUUGGGAGAUGAUUUGGCAACAUUUAUCAAAUAUCUUAAAAAUGUGCAUGCCAUUUGAACCCAGAAUUCCACUCCUAGGAAUUUCUUCUAGAGAGAUAACAGGACUAAUACACAAAGCAAAUCACACUAAAAUGUUCCCUGCAAAACUAAUUUCCAAAUUAAAAAUUGGAAGUGAUGGGCACUCCCACUGUGGCAAAAUGGAAUUGGCAGAGUCCUAGGAGCACUGGGAUGUGGGUUCCACCCCUGGCUUGGCCCACUGGGUUAAGAAUCUGGUGUUGCUGUUGCCACAGCUGCGGCUUACUUCACGCUGUGCCUCAGAUCUGAUACCUGGCUCUGGAGCUCCAUAUGCCAUGGGG